This is a non-coding RNA of Phasianus colchicus (ring-necked pheasant), 448 nucleotides long. The record is from RefSeq and is a predicted model, not a curated record. NCBI's taxonomy places the organism in Eukaryota, Metazoa, Chordata, Aves, Galliformes, Phasianidae.
ACAACUGUUGCAAUCCCGAGUGAAAAUCAGCAGUACAGAAUGCUUGAUCCAGUACCACAGAAAGCAUCCCAGGACACAGAUCAGCAGAUCACCCUAUAGCAGAAAUGAUGAGUUAUGGGCUGAAGCAGUGAUUGGGCACCUGGUGGGAAGGCAGGGCCAACCCAGGGGAGCUCAGCUGUAUGCAAUGUACCUGAUGGAAGGGCUGGGACCAGGAUCCACCCCUUCCCAGCCCUCAUUUAUGAGUUGGCAGUGGAGGUGAGGGUGUCUCUCUGGAGUUUCCUGUGUAUCUGAGGUCUUCUUAAGCUUUCUAUAUGCACAAGAGGAUGCAUUUUUUGGAUGAAGAUGCAGGAGGAAAAGAAAUAGAAGUCACAGCCAUAAGGAUGCUGAAGCCAAGGGCACAUUCACUGGAAAUAACUCUGAAACCUCUACAACAGACACUUAAAACACC